AACCGUUGAAUGUCGCUGGGUUGUAGCACUACGGGCUCCAGGUACUUUCUAAUUUCCUUUAUUUAACCUGAUUUGAGUCGUGAAAAUAGCCUCUGUGGUCCGGGCCAGCUGUAAUUUUGGGGGAUUGGAGGAGUUAGCAGCUUUGUUAGUUAACAGGAGGCAAACUCAAGAAUCUAUGUAUAGAUCACGCGACUCAAAUUCUUCACCUUGUUCAAAUUUGAUUGAGUUGUGAAGGGGAAUCGUUGCAAUGGACCUGAUUUCAAUUGAAUUUAAAGCUAAUGAUUAGAUGUUUUUGAUGAGAGAUGAGGGUUUACUGAUAUGUAGGUGUGAAAUCAUGAUGGUUGAAGGUGAUAAAAUGACAUGAGGUAGAUUUAUAAUCACAUGGAAGGAAGUUAUGUAAAUGAACCUCCAAUAUCUUGAAAUCUAUAUGAAAUUUGUGAUGAACGGAAUACAAUAAAUGCAAAUAAUCCAUAUAGGCAAUACGAACUGGUUGGAUUAAUAUAGUCAUUAUUCACACAUUUAUAUUAGAUCAUGCAUUUGAUAAGAGUCUAUGAAGUAUGUUUAGAGAUUGUAUGGAAGUGUAAGGAUACGUGCAAGAUUAGAGAAUCUCUAAUUUUUCAUAGAAAUACAAACAAUUGAAUGGUAGAAUGAGACGUCCCAAAUCCAAAAGAAUAGAUAUAGAGAAUGCAUAUAGCGCGCACCUCACUAGUUUGGAGUUGAGGUGUUAUUGUUAAUGUAAUGCUAUUCUUGCCUUUCCGAGCUGUCAAUAUAGGUCUUCAGAUAAAGGAUCCUCUGAAAUUCCUCCUUAUUUAUUUUGAAAAUACUGAUAAAAAUAAUGUGGUUAUAUAGGAUCCAAUAAUUAAGCAAAUCCCUGCAAGUCGUCACUUGCUGCCCCCCAUAUUCUCAUGAUAAUAUAUUAAUUUUAAGAUAGCAUUAGUUACAUAACUAAGUUUUUUACCCUUCCGAUGGCGAAUUACUCCAUAAUUGCAAGUUUAUGCGCCAUCAGCUUCUGCACAUGCAUGCUUCUUCUUCUAUUCGAUCUUGCAAUUUCUUAGGUUAACUGAAAAUGGUCUCGUCAAACCACAAUCUAUCUUAAAGUUAUCUAAUUGGCUCCCAUUCCAGCCUGACCUACAGUGUAGCUGUCGGAGUUUUGAUUUGCUCGCUUACAUUUUCUUUCGGAUUUCUAUCACUAACUUCAAUCAUAGUACAUGAGCUAUAUUUACAUUUGUUAUUACUUGGUUUAAGGAAAAUUUUGAGCUUAUCAUCAGCAUGUUUCUUAAAGAGCUCUCAAGUUUAGUGGUUAGGGUCAGAUUCAAAUUAUUUCAAGUCCUUUGACAGAACUCAUUUUGGUGUAACUUGCCACUUACUUCACCUCAUAUGAUUGCGUGGUGGAAUGGUCAAGACUUAAUUUUUAGCAACAACAGCUCAUACUUUCUGUCAUACUCCUCAAUUUCACUUAUGGUCUUUGAAAUAGUAUAGCACUUCCUUCAGCUUUUGAAGAAAAAUAUAAAAAGAAAGCUUUACAAGGAAGCAACUGAUUCUUGUGUCUCUUAUGCUUUUAAUGGAUAUGUGAAUGUAGACUCUAGUGCCAUUGAAUUGUGAGCUCGACAUUGUGCAACAAUAAGCUUACUAAUCAUAUUAUACAAUAUUAAAUGUUUCGGAUGCAAGUGAAGAUGAGGAAUAUAAUGAUGUCACUCCUUAAAGAUUCUCAUUUAAACAGUAAUAUACAAGCUACUUUCUCUGUGAUGGAUCAGAUGUUUAUCCUGCUACUUGAUACUCGUUGCCAUGUCUUCUUUCACUAGUUCCCAAUUUGUCACACAAUAAAAAUAAUUCAUGCUUUGGCUGCUGCAAGACUAUGACAUUUUGAGUUAUAGUUCAUAUUGUCUAAUAGGUCCCAUGCAAGCAUGGAAUUUCAGAGCUAGCAGUUGAGGUGUUGUUGAUAUUGUUGUUUAUUUUUAAAUAACAACAAGAUAGUAGUUGUACCAAAUGUAAUGAGAAAUCUCCAGAAAUAGAAGUGGUACACAAAAAGUAUAGAACUUGUAAUAAACAUGGUUAUAUAUGAAAGACAUGCAACUAUAUAUACUAACAGGAACCUAUAGGUGUAUCAAAACAAAGGGACAAAAACCAAACCCUUAUAUAUACAAGUUUUUUUUGAAGAGGGACAAAGCUAGCAGUUGAAUAAUUGGACAAACGAGUAGUUCAGUCAAUGCAACACAAAAUUGCUUGCCAAAUCAUUAUUCCCUAGGGUUGGAUCUACUUACAAAUUAGAGGUCGACAAAUGUGCAUGUUUCUUGCAUAUCCAUGUUCUCGUUUUGCACAAAUCAUUCUAAUAUCCCAGUUUCAAUUUCAACAUUUCUGCUGCAUUAAAUUCCUAGAAACUAGGCGUCCAUCAGUUAUUUUUUGUGACAGUGAAUACUUCCAUAUGAUGCAAUCUGAUUUAUUGGCUCAACUGUUUUAUACUAUAAUCUCUAGGGCAUUUGCUCUUUGUCCGUAUGAUGCAUGUUAUUCUGAACCCACAGUAGAAAAGAUUUGGCUUAUAUUGUGCUUGACAAACAAUUUUUGUGUCUAUAUUUGCCAAUUUUGUUCGAUGAUUUUUCAACAACGCUGUGCAAACCUAAACUGUCUGAUAUCCAGUGCCAUUAAUGGGAUUGGCUGGUUAUCUAGCCUGUUUGUUUAGGAAAAACUCUUCCACACCUAUAAUUUCACUUCGUAAAGUAUCCAUUAGCUUACCUAGACUGCAUAAAUCAACCAAGUUUAGACUGUUGGUUCUACCAAGGUUAGUUGGCUCUAAAAUGCUUCCCACUAUGUUUCUGCUUUCAUAGGUCUAAGUUUGUUGAUCUCAUGAACAUAAAUGUUUUAUUUCAUUUGUGGUUUGAUAAAAACUUCACCAAAAUGUGGCUCUAUGUGCACUCAUAAAAUUUGAAUGAGCUUUUUCCAUAUGCAAUUUGUCUUCGUAGUCCUCCUCCUGUGGCAUCUUACAACAUUAUGACAUCUUGCUUGGUCAAGUAUUAGUGCAGAUAUAAAACAUUUGAGACCUUAGUGUUUCAUGUCUAUUGCAUUAUUUUGAGAAAUAAGACUAAAGCAUUUAUGCUUUCUGGGCAGGAGAAAAAAAUGAGGCAUUUCAGCUUCUCUUUGGUCUGGUUAGCACAUUAGCCUUUUAAUGCAAGUUGUUGCUUCAAAGGUGCCCUUCAGGAGUCUCCACACAAAGUUUUAUGAUUUUGAAAGAUACAAGUCGAGCACAUAACAAGUAUGCUUGUCUAUCUUUUAAAUGAUUACUCUUAUUGUACUUGUAUAUGGUAUUGUAUAUGGUAUUACUGGAUAUGUUGAUUUUGUCCUUUUAUUAUUCCUUGUCUAGAUUGUUUUAUUUUGAGCCGGGGGUCUAUCGGUAACAGCCUCUCUAUCUCAUUUCUGAGGUAGUGAUACAGAUUGCGUACACUUACCCUCUGCAGACCCCACUUGGUGGAAAUAUACUGGGUAUGUUGUUGUUGUACUCUUAUUGCUUGAAUCCAGUUAGAAAGCGGGACGAAAUAACUUUGAACUACUAGAUCAGGUUGAACUUGUACAAUUUGUAGGUCAACAUUAAGAGAUUUUAAGGACAACUGGCACCUUUUGCUCCUCAAGCUACUGCUUAAUUUCAAACCCUGGAUUGUUGCACUUGGCUGGUCUUUAAUUUGUUUAGAAGGAGACAGUCUGGUCCUUUUUGGUAAUUCAAUCAACCAAUCUGACCCUUUUUGGCAAUUCAAUCAACCAAUCUUUUUAAGAAUCCCAUAAGUUCCAGAGUCUUCCAACCCUUUCUUCUUUUGCCCAUCUCUCAUAUCCUUCAUAAUCCAUCAUCAGACCUUGCAACCCCUUAUGCACUCCUAACUCUGCUCCCU
This 3875-nucleotide long non-coding RNA is filed under the name Capsicum annuum. Its description in RNAcentral is "long non-coding RNA (CANN_LNC006252)". Lineage: Eukaryota; Viridiplantae; Streptophyta; Magnoliopsida; Solanales; Solanaceae. The record is from RNAcentral.